RNAcentral lists this unclassified non-coding RNA (348 nucleotides) under soil metagenome. Its description in RNAcentral is "partial contains 5.8S ribosomal RNA, internal transcribed spacer 2, and large subunit ribosomal RNA". The stretch from base 1 to 120 matches the Rfam family "5.8S ribosomal RNA", at positions 35 to 154 of the family's 154-position model. The record is from RNAcentral.
GAUGAAGAACGCAGCGAAAUGCGAUAAGUAAUGUGAAUUGCAGAAUUCAGUGAAUCAUCGAGUCUUUGAACGCACAUUGCGCCCCCUGGUAUUCCGGGGGUCAUGCCUGUCCGAGCGUCAUUGCUGCCCUCAAGCACGGCUUGUGUGUUGGGCCCCGCCCCCCGGCUCCCGGGGGGCGGGCCCGAAAGGCAGCGGCGGCACCGCGUCCGGUCCUCGAGCGUAUGGGGCUUCGUCACCCGCUCCGUAGGCCCGGCCGGCGCCCGCCGGCGACCCCCCUCAAUCUUUUCAGGUUGACCUCGGAUCAGGUAGGGAUACCCGCUGAACUUAAGCAUAUCAAUAAGCGGAGGA